RNAcentral lists this long non-coding RNA (432 nucleotides) under Mytilus galloprovincialis (Mediterranean mussel). The record is from RNAcentral. Lineage: Eukaryota; Metazoa; Mollusca; Bivalvia; Mytilida; Mytilidae.
AGCGAUAUCCGUCUAUUAUGGGACAAUCUAAAAGUUGAAAUUAGAGACGAAUCUAUUCUAUACUGUAAAAGAAAAUCGAAAUUAUCAAGGGAGACAACAAGAAAAUUAGAAAGCGAAUUAGAACACUUAACGACAAUCAGAGAUGAACAAUUAAACGAAGAUGAAACACUAACAAAUAAUAUAAAACAAUUAGAAUUACAAUUAGACACAAUUUAUGAAUAUAAAGCAAAGGGGGCUCAAAUUAGAUCAAGGGAGAAAUGGAUAGAACUAGGGGAAAAGAAUAAUUCUUAUUUUCUGGGAUUAGAAAAACAGCGACAAGUCAAAAAAUCUAUUAACAAACUCAAAAAUGAAAAUAACGAGGUAACAACAAAUCAAGAACAAAUUUUAGAAAUGAUUAAAAACUAUUAUAAAAUAUUAUAUACAACCACGGCU